AAUGUUUAUUGACGUUUUACAUUUGAUCAUUCGUUUUCGCACUCGUGUGAAUUGUGGAUAUUAUAUUAAGUGCUUCGUUGCGAUAUACCUGCGUAUUAUAAUUAGUUGUGCAUAAAAUUGAGUCUUGGCGUUCAUUGAAUUAGUGCAUUUCUAGGAUCGAACGGCUUCAGUAACAUAAGCGGAACAGGUGCGGUCGCAAAUGUCAAACACAGCACGAUGAACAACGUGAACUGCAAAAACAAAUAGGUUUAGAUUUUAAACAACAUUCAAGAUCAACUUCACAACGGGCAUGCAUACCGAGGAAAAGAACAUUUUUCGGUAAUCAACAUAAAAUAUCGACGAAGAAACCUCUUCCACUAAUGCAUCUGCUAAUCUUCCCUAAUUUAACAAUGUUUUAAAAGUUAUAAAAACAAAUUUAUGAAACUUUAUAUAGUGAUACUUUAUUGGAACCUUAUUGGAACGUUGUUUGGGUUCAAAAACUCAAACAACGAAUCACAACAUUUUAUAUUAUUCUUAUAUGAACUUUUGCUCCGAAGCUCAUUCACGCUCGAAACCGGACUAUUGAACUUGCUUCUUUCCUCGCAGCGUGCAUUUUUAUUGAAAGUUUUAAACCCAUAUUAAAAAUGUUGAGUGUUAAGGGAAUCAGGAUUGGCCCUAAAGCUCAUGCGUCCUCAGUGAGGCAAGACGAUGAUCGUAUCGUAUCGAGCGCUCUCAACUUCAAGCUUCAUAGACAUCAAAGGAAGGCAGGAAGGCAGGAAGGCAGGAAGGCAGGACGAAAGAACUUUGGUGAAUCAGAAUUUUGAAGUAAAGAAAGAUUUUUUGAAUGGAACAGGGAUCGCCGAUUAAAAAUACAUGACCAGAAGGGUUGCUACUACUACGCACACCAGGAUGCCCUUUUUUGGACCCCCUUGGACUUUGUCUGCUAAUAAGUUUGUAAAUUUUGUUAUUGUUUAUCCAGUAUUUUUUAUGUAAUCUUGAAAUAUCAAUAAGCAAUUUGAUAUUUCAAUGAUAAUUCAAUAAAUAAAUUUUGCGCGCCGUUCCUAAAAAUUCA
Molecule: long non-coding RNA, 1051 nt
Organism: Bombyx mori (domestic silkworm)
Lineage: Eukaryota; Metazoa; Arthropoda; Insecta; Lepidoptera; Bombycidae
Exons: 4
Source: RefSeq, a predicted model, not a curated record